This is a long non-coding RNA of Rosa chinensis, 787 nucleotides long. RefSeq lists it as uncharacterized. NCBI's taxonomy places the organism in Eukaryota, Viridiplantae, Streptophyta, Magnoliopsida, Rosales, Rosaceae. The record is from RefSeq and is a predicted model, not a curated record. The transcript has 3 exons.
ACUCAUUUUGAAGACCUGCAGCAUCUAUUCGUUCUUUUUGGUAGAUGUGUAAUAAGCUAAAUCCUAACUAGGGCCUUCUGCACAAGAUGAAUGAAGUGAGAUGUACAUGCCUGUGACUUUCGAUGUGGGCCUGAUUAUCACCAAUGUUCCGUAUUUUGUAGAGCAUAUGAAAGUUGUGCUGUUUCCUAUCAUAAUGCCUAUAUCAGUUUAUGGCCCGCACCGCCGACAAAGACCUCGAGUCAAAGCUUGGUUUCGAUCUAUUCUCCGAAGGUGAAACUAGGCUCGGCUGGUUACUCACUUUCACAACGUGAGGCACAAUUUUUUCGAAUACAGCGGGAUUUGAUACAUGCUGAACAACGUAUUAUGUGGGUGAGCCGCCGUAUUAUGUCGGGUGGAGGAAGGUGGCGGAGGAUCCGUACGACGAGUUGCGUAAUCCGGAUGAGCUGGGUUUGGAUGAAAACAUGUUAGCUUUGGACUUGGUUCGAGAGUGCCUAAUGUAGAAUGCAAAGGAUGCAAUACUGGGUGGUGAGGCUGGGGAUUAGUGGGAUUGCUUGUUACCAGCCUUCUGAUGGUUUAAUGGAGCUGAAACUGGAACUUCUUUUAAACUCUCGAAUAAUUUCUUGUGUUUUCAUGAUUGUUCAUUCGAAUUGUUCGUAAAAUGUAUAGUCCUUUUUGUUUGAUAUGGAAAUCUGAUUAGCUUUUGGACUUUGUAAUUUUGGGGCAUAUGCUUCGAAUUUUGUCUGUGUGAUUCUGUUAAGACUUGAUUUUGGUGGAAUGUGUACCUAAC